Molecule: long non-coding RNA, 4247 nt
Filed under: Homo sapiens (human)
Lineage: Eukaryota; Metazoa; Chordata; Mammalia; Primates; Hominidae
Description: HSALNT0129363
Source: RNAcentral
GGUCAGCAGCGGCAUUAGCGUCUCAUAGGAGCAUGAACCCUACUGUGAACUGCGCAUGCGAGGGAUCUAGGCUGCGCGCUCCUUAUGAGAAUCUAACGCCUGAUGACCUAUCACUGUCUCCCAUCACUCCCAGAUGGGACCGUCUAGUUGCAGGAAAACAAGCUCAGGGCUCCCACUGAUUCUACAUUAUGGAAAUUUCAUGAUCCGACUGGAAUCCAGGAAAAUCACAGCUGAAAUACAAAACAUCAGCCCUUAUCUCCAGCACUGUACAUGGCAGAAACUGCUUUUAUUCUAGAUGUCUAGAUCCAGAUCAACUGCAUGGGGUCCUACAGGAGAAGACCAAGAGACAGAGACAGAGACCAGGGAAAAUGACCGAUACCAUUCCUUCUCAGGGAUGCUACACACCCAUGGGGCAGAGGAUAAGAGGUUCCUGAAGGCAUCACCCCUCUGGCCAUGGCUGGUGUGCAGACAAAGCUGGAGAUUUGGAGUAGCCUGUUGUCCCACUGACUCUUAGACUGCCCCAGCUAAGAAGAACCAACUCCUCCUAUUACAGAUGAAAUAAACAAAGCUACUCAAGCUCUCUGGCAUCGCCCUGACGGUCAUCAUGUGCUUCACAUUUCCCUCCUGCCCCCCCUGAUUUUCUGGAAAAGGGAGAAAGUGUGUGAAAAAAAAUGGACAAUAACUUCUGUUAACUUUGUAGAUGUCUGGUUCCUCCAUAUGAGGCUGUGCUUGAAUCAAUUUUGGAGAGAGGGUUUCUAAAGUCUCUCUAGAUUCUAUUAAUUUUGAUAGAGACAAUAAAAGGCAGCAGGACCAACUCUGUGUGGUGGGAGAUCUAGCAACCAUUAUAGUCACAAUAGCCACCACUUACUGAACACCCACCAUGUGACAAAGAACAAAUGUGCAUGAAUUAUGUCACAUUUUUCACAAGCACCCCUUGAGUUGGGAGUUCACUCAUGAGGCAACUGAGGUUCAGGGAGAUGAAGUAACUCACCCUGUAGGUAGGAGGGCUGAGAUCUGGACGUAGAUCUUUCCUCCAAAGCUUUGUCUUUUUUUUUCUACUAUAGCACACCAAAGAGAGUUCUAGAAAAAAUGAGAAUAAGAAAUUUACCUGUAAUCCUUGCUCAAGAAACUGAAGCUCUGAGGCCACAUUGUUCCAGCCUUUUGCAGCUCCUGCAUGUGGAUACCAGCACCAGCAGCUCCCCGACCAGGGGCCCCAGCUAAGCCCUCCCAGAGGAUGAUCUUGGCUUUGUACAUGGGGUGUCAAUAUCCUGUGAGUCCAACAGAGGGAAGACAUAAGAAUAUGGUCACCCAGGUAACAGACAUUUGUCUUAAUGUAUUCACUGUGUCAUCAGAAGCCACUUCUUAUCCAUCCUUGUGAAUACUUGAUGAAUGAGGAGUCAAUGAUUAAAUGAAGGAAAGAAAAGAGACUGAAAAGGAGGUUUUGUACAGAGGAAAUCCAGGCUCCUAACGAUGGCGAAAGAUGGGAAUAAAAGGAUCAGAACACUGAGCUGGAUCUUCAGUUCAUUUCAGGUAUGGAGAAGGGUAAAUGGUCUUUAAAGAAGGCCGACCUCAAUGAAGGUGUCUUCCAAGGCCUUGUCCACUCAAGGACAUGUUGCAUGCCUGAAACUGAGUAUACAGGAAAAGGAUAGAAAUGGAAUAAAAUGGAAACCCAUAAAUCACACUACCCUGCUAUGCAGUUUCAAACCACUGACUUAAUGAAAUGUUGAUCCACUUUGCCAUGGAUGCCCCACUUUUUAACUCCUUCUUCAGAGUCCCAGGAGGUGAGGCUCUUCUGUUUAACUGAUUUGCAGAAUUUUUGCUUCUGCUAUUACAAUGGCUUCCAUAGUUGAGUACCAAAGACACUUUACUAUGGUGCCACAGAGAUCAUUUUGCAGAUGAGGAAACAGACUGUUCUACUACCCAGGCUUUGGUUUUUUCUACUCAGUCUUGCACAAUCUCUCACUCUCAGCCCAGAACAUUGCUGCAUUUUUGUGAGCCAUCAGCAUCCAAAGUGAACACAGGGUCUAAAUAACUGAAGAUGGCAUGAGGGAACACACAAUCAGGUCUUUAAAAAAAGAAGAAAGUGAAUAGGCAAACUGAACAGGACAUCUAGGACUGAAAAGCCUCUGUGAACAACUGGACUCAAUAUGAAAUUGGCGUGAGCUCACAGAAGACCAGCUGAGUUCCAGAUGUGGUUGGGUAGCUUGGGUUAUGGGCCCGUAUAAAAAAAAUGGUCUCUUCUUGUAAAAGGAAUUCAAAAAAAGACUAAAAGUCACCCCAAAGAGUCACUGUCUUUGUCUUUUGGCCAUUAGUAAGUCAGAAGAGACCUCUAGAGGAGACUGGAUUUUGUGGCUGAUUAUCGAUUAAUUGAUCAUCACUGGGUAUCUUUGGGAGUGUUGCCUUCUCAGGGAGAAGCUGAAAAUCAUUCUGUGAAAGGUAUGUCCACUGACAAUCAUUUAAGCUCUUUGGAGGCAAGAAAUCAGGUAUCUGGGAGAACUCAGAGAUAACAUAGGAGCGACAGGCUGAAACCAUGAGCGAGAUGGGCAGAUGGCUUGAGAAUGACGAUGGGCAGAGGAGAGCAGUGGCAGGGAGAACCCACAGGCCUCUACUUGGAGUCAGCCUGUCAGCAGGAUAAGCUACAAGAUCACCCUCGAGGGAAACUGCAGGCCAGGUCAGGGGCACUGCAAGCUGCAGGUGUGCCCAGGCAGGAGGGCAGGUGGCCUGUGAUGAGGGGCCAUGACUGUGUGGUGGGCUCUCCCACACCAGGAGCAACUAGACACUAGACUGAAAGUUCUUUUAAGUGAGGGAGCCAUCUUCUGUCCAGGGAAAAGUGGUUCGGGAUACAGGAGGAGCCCUGCACCACAGAAUCGGUCUAGUCUCAGGCUGUCUGUUCCACAGGAGCCUCCAGCCCAGUGAUGUAGGCAGCUAUUCACAACCACAUCAUGGCACAAAGUGAGGCCUCCCAAUCCACAGCCAUCCCUGAUUACAGACACUUCACUGGAUGUCUGAACAUAGCUGUGUGUGCCUGGAAAGCCUAGAAAUAGAAACGCUCCUUUUUUCCCCAAGACGAUCAUCUCUACAUCCUGACCUGGAUCAACAGUGAUCCAUUCUGGACAAUCCUGGACACUCCUGCUCCUGGAGAGAAGGGAUAGAUAACUUUUCCACCUGCCUGCCUGUCCUGUCCACCUCGAGGUGGUCUUGUGGCAUCUUGGGCCUCACAUGUCCCAUAGUCUCUUCUCAUCCCUCCAAUUUGCUCCUUCUCCAGACUUCUCUCUCUUGGUUGAGUGGUUCCACCAUUUUCCCAAGUUGCUUGGACCCAACACUUGAGUUACAGCCAACUCCUCUCUUUCUCUCACAACCCAAAUCUAAUUCAUCAGUAAGUCCUGGUGGCUCCACAUUCGGAAUGUUCCUGGGAUGCCACCACUUUUUGUCAUCUCUGUUACUGCUAGCCUGCCCCUUGCUACUGUCAGCUCCAGCCUGGAGGACUGAAAUAACCUCCUCACUGUCUCCAGCUGUUCUUCCCGCCCAUGGUCUAUUCCCCAGACACCACCAGAGGGAUGCUUUGAAGUCCAGAUGGCAUCAUGUCAUUUAGAAUGAAACCUGAGGUCCCAAGUGUGGCCCGAGGGAUGGUCAGGUUGCCCCCAGGGCUCCAUUUCCUGCCACUCUUCCUCUCUCUCACUCUGCUGGAGCCACAUGGUUACUAUUCCUGAACACAGGAGGCUCCCUCCUGCUUCAGGUCUCGUGCAGAUUUGUUCCCACAGCCUGGGGACAGAUUUUAUCCCAGAAGUUCCCAGGGCUUGAUUCCUCCCUUUAUUUAGUUCUCAGCUGAAAUGUCCCCUCUUCUGAGCAGCCUUCUCUCACCACCCGAUGGAAGCAGCCGUCCCUGCACGCUCUAUCACUUCACUCGGCUCUAUUUUUCUUCCUAACACGUUCACAACUUGACAUUCUUUUAUAAUUUUUCACUUAUUUAUUGAGUGCUGUCUCUUCCACUAGAACCCCUGAAAGCAGGGAUUUUUAUAAUCUUUUGGCCACCACUAGAUUCAUAAGGAUGCACAGAGCCUGGUAGGCUGCAGGCUGUCCAUAACUGCUUGUUGAAUGAAUCGAUGGAUGAAUGAUCAGCAGAAGCUCGUUUCUCUCCAUGAAAUACAACGGGUUCCAAAGAAAUCGAAGCCUUUUUGAAAGGCCUAGCCAUACUUCACCCAUACAGCUGCAGUGGCAGAUCCAUGCUCAUGACCUCAUUUCUCUCC